GACGAACGCUGGCGGCGUGCCUAAUACAUGCAAGUAGAACGCUGAAGAGAGGAGCUUGCUCUUCUUGGAUGAGUUGCGAACGGGUGAGUAACGCGUAGGUAACCUGCCUGGUAGCGGGGGAUAACUAUUGGAAACGAUAGCUAAUACCGCAUAAAAUUGAUUAUUGCAUGAUAAUUAAUUGAAAGAUGCAACUGCAUCACUACCAGAUGGACCUGCGUUGUAUUAGCUAGUUGGUGAGGUAACGGCUCACCAAGGCGACGAUACAUAGCCGACCUGAGAGGGUGGUCGGCCACACUGGGACUGAGACACGGCCCAGACUCCUACGGGAGGCAGCAGUAGGGCAUCUUCGGCAAUGGGGGGAAACCUGACCGAGCAACGCCGCGUGAGUGAAGAAGGUUUUCGGAUCGUAAAGCUCUGUUGUAAGAGAAGAACGGGUGUGAGAGUGGAAAGUUCACACUGUGACGGUAUCUUACCAGAAAGCGACGGCUAACUACGUG
RNAcentral lists this ribosomal RNA (497 nucleotides) under uncultured bacterium. RNAcentral's name for it is "partial 16S ribosomal RNA". It matches the Rfam family "Bacterial small subunit ribosomal RNA", at positions 28 to 507 of the family's 1533-position model. The record is from RNAcentral.